UACGUAGGGUGCAAGCGUUAUCCGGAUUCACUGGGUUUAAAGGGUGCGUAGGUGGGCAGGUAAGUCAGUGGUGAAAUCUCCGAGCUUAACUCGGAAACUGCCGUUGAUACUAUUUGUCUUGAAUAUUGUGGAGGUAAGCGGAAUAUGUCAUGUAGCGGUGAAAUGCUUAGAUAUGACAUAGAACACCAAUUGCGAAGGCAGCUUACUACACAACGAUUGACGCUGAGGCACGAAAGCGUGGGGAUCAAACAGG
Molecule: ribosomal RNA, 253 nt
Filed under: uncultured bacterium
Lineage: Bacteria
Description: partial 16S ribosomal RNA
Rfam family: Bacterial small subunit ribosomal RNA
Source: RNAcentral